RNAcentral lists this ribosomal RNA (378 nucleotides) under uncultured bacterium. RNAcentral describes it as "bacterial SSU rRNA". It matches the Rfam family "Bacterial small subunit ribosomal RNA", at positions 527 to 907 of the family's 1533-position model. The record is from RNAcentral.
GGAGGAUCCGAGCGUUAUCCGGAUUUAUUGGGUUUAAAGGGAGCGUAGAUGGGUUGUUAAGUCAGUUGUGAAAGUUUGCGGCUCAACCGUAAAAUUGCAAUUGAUACUGGCAGUCUUGAGUACAGUUGAGGUAGGCGGAAUUCGUGGUGUAGCGGUGAAAUGCUUAGAUAUCACGAAGAACUCCGAUUGCGAAGGCAGCCUGCUAAGCUGCAACUGACAUUGAGGCUCGAAAGUGUGGGUAUCAAACAGGAUUAGAUACCCUGGUAGUCCACACGGUAAACGAUGAAUACUCGCUGUUUGCGAUAUACAGCAAGCGGCCAAGCGAAAGCGUUAAGUAUUCCACCUGGGGAGUACGCCGGCAACGGUGAAACUCAAAGG